Molecule: ribosomal RNA, 253 nt
Filed under: uncultured bacterium
Lineage: Bacteria
Description: partial 16S ribosomal RNA
Rfam family: Bacterial small subunit ribosomal RNA
Source: RNAcentral
UACGGAGGGUGCAAGCGUUAUUCGGAAUUAUUGGGCGUAAAGAGCGCGUAGGCGGUCCUUUAAGUCAGAUGUGAAAGCCCAGGGCUCAACCCUGGAAGUGCAUUUGAAACUAAAGGACUUGAGUAUGGGAGAGGGAAGUGGAAUUCCUGGUGUAGCGGUGAAAUGCGUAGAGAUCAGGAGGAACACCGGUGGCGAAGGCGACUUCCUGGACCAAUACUGACGAUGAGGCGCGAAGGAGUGGGGAGCAAACAGG